Molecule: long non-coding RNA, 448 nt
Filed under: Homo sapiens (human)
Lineage: Eukaryota; Metazoa; Chordata; Mammalia; Primates; Hominidae
Description: non-protein coding lnc-BNIP1-5:3
Source: RNAcentral
AGCGCCGGACAAAGUUGCCGACCUGGCGGCGGCCACGCGUUUGCGUGCGUGUGUAUGAGUGUGUGUGAGCGCGGCCGGAGAUGCGUGCGCGUGUGCGGGUGCUCCAGGGCAAUGGUCGAAAGGACUGUACAAUAUAAGAGCGAAUCCAAGCUCCAGUUGCUGUUAAAGGGGGACGGUGUGCUCUGGGACAGUGUCCCUGGGGCCCCUGGCUCGCGUCACACCCACAUCGGGUUGGGAAAGUUUCCUCUUUCCGCCGUUUGGAAUUCAGUGAGAUUCCCAGCCCAGAGGACUUGAUAAAUUGAAGCAGUUUCCUAGGCACAAUGAUGCUGUGGGCCAACUGAGCACACAUGGGAAUUCCUGGCCUUGUGACACUUUGCAUUAAAAAGAACCCCACGAUUGAAGAUAGGAGCAGAAGCACUAGAUACAGUAUUUGGUCUGAGCAACUGCC